RNAcentral lists this ribosomal RNA (473 nucleotides) under uncultured organism. RNAcentral's name for it is "partial 16S ribosomal RNA". It matches the Rfam family "Bacterial small subunit ribosomal RNA", at positions 334 to 798 of the family's 1533-position model. The record is from RNAcentral.
CACUCCUGCGGGAGGCAGCAGUGGGGAAUAUUGCACAAUGGGCGCAAGCCUGAUGCAGCCAUGCCGCGUGUAUGAAGAAGGCCUUCGGGUUGUAAAGUACUUUCAGCGGGGAGGAAGGCGAUAAGGUUAAUAACCUUGUCGAUUGACGUUACCCGCAGAAGAAGCACCGGCUAACUCCGUGCCAGCAGCCGCGGUAAUACGGAGGGUGCAAGCGUUAAUCGGAAUUACUGGGCGUAAAGCGCACGCAGGCGGUCUGUCAAGUCGGAUGUGAAAUCCCCGGGCUCAACCUGGGAACUGCAUUCGAAACUGGCAGGCUAGAGUCUUGUAGAGGGGGGUAGAAUUCCAGGUGUAGCGGUGAAAUGCGUAGAGAUCUGGAGGAAUACCGGUGGCGAAGGCGGCCCCCUGGACAAAGACUGACGCUCAGGUGCGAAAGCGUGGGGAGCAAACAGGAUUAGAAACCCCUGUAGUCCCAU